This 290-nucleotide unclassified non-coding RNA is filed under the name Hevea brasiliensis (rubber tree). Lineage: Eukaryota; Viridiplantae; Streptophyta; Magnoliopsida; Malpighiales; Euphorbiaceae. The record is from RNAcentral.
GAUAAAUUGAAACCACAAUUAGGGAAAAAAUUGCUUGCUUCUUUUUGGAUGCCAAAAUCCUUCUAACUUGAAAUAAUCAUGAACAAACAGGGGAAGGAAAUGACUAAAGAAGUAGGAAGCCUAUACUUAUUUUUGGAAACUACUGCAAGUACCGCUAGAAAAUCAUCACUUAGAUGGUUGUCAUUGAUUUUGGUCUAAAAUUGAGGCUUGCAGUCAACAUGUCAAUCACUUUUUACAAGUAAUAUCAAUAGGGAAGGAAAAUCCAUUUUUGCAUAAAAGCUCAGAAUCAG